Molecule: ribosomal RNA, 374 nt
Filed under: uncultured bacterium
Lineage: Bacteria
Description: bacterial SSU rRNA
Rfam family: Bacterial small subunit ribosomal RNA
Source: RNAcentral
UAAAACGUAGGACGCAAGCGUUAUCCGGAGUUACUGGGCGUAAAGCGCGGGCAGGCGGCUCUGCCAGUCUGAUGUGAAAUCUCCCGGCUCAACCGGGAGCAGCCAUUGGAAACUACAGAGCUGGAGGGCAGCAGAGGUAGGCGGAAUUCCGGGUGGAGUGGUGAAAUGCGUAGAGAUCCGGAGGAACACCAGAGGCGAAGGCGGCCUACUGGGCUGCACCUGACGCUGAGCCGCGAAAGCCAGGGGAGCGAACGGGAUUAGAAACCCCGGUAGUCCUGGCCGUAAACGAUGUUCACUGGGUGGUGGGGGGUUUCCCUUCACUGCCGAAGCUAACGCGAUAAGUGAACCGCCUGGGGAGUACGGUCGCAAGGCUA